AAAUGAAGGAAGCAUAAUAACGUGCACAUAAAUUGAUUGUCUCUAGGCUUGCCAUAUUUUAUGCCUUUUGGCUUUGGUUUGAGAGCAUGAUUCCGCAGCAAAACG
Molecule: small nucleolar RNA, 105 nt
Organism: Rhododendron vialii
Lineage: Eukaryota; Viridiplantae; Streptophyta; Magnoliopsida; Ericales; Ericaceae
Product: small nucleolar RNA snoR100
Exons: 1
Source: RefSeq, a predicted model, not a curated record